This 426-nucleotide ribosomal RNA is filed under the name uncultured Ethanoligenens sp. RNAcentral's name for it is "bacterial SSU rRNA". It matches the Rfam family "Bacterial small subunit ribosomal RNA", at positions 354 to 794 of the family's 1533-position model. Lineage: Bacteria; Bacillati; Bacillota; Clostridia; Eubacteriales; Oscillospiraceae. The record is from RNAcentral.
UGGGGGGAUAUUACACAAUGGAGGAAACUCUGAUGCAGCAACACCGCGUGAGGGAAGAAGGUUUUCGGAUUGUAAACCUCUGUUUUUGGUGAAGAAAGAAAUGACGGUAGCCGAAGAGGAAGCCACGGCUAACUACGUGCCAGCAGCCGCGGUAAUACGUAGGUGGCAAGCGUUGUCCGGAAUUACUGGGUGUAAAGGGUGCGCAGGCGGGACUGCAAGUUGGAUGUGAAGUACCGGGGCUCAACCCCGGAGCUGCAUCCAAAACUAUGGUUCUUGAGUGAAGUAGAGGUAAGCGGAAUUCCGAGUGUAGCGGUGAAAUGCGUAGAUAUUCGGAGGAACACCAGUGGCGAAGGCGGCUUACUGGGCUUUAACUGACGCUGAGGCACGAAAGCAUGGGGAGCAAACAGGAUUAGAUACCCUGGUAGU